Molecule: long non-coding RNA, 1217 nt
Organism: Megalobrama amblycephala (Wuchang bream)
Lineage: Eukaryota; Metazoa; Chordata; Actinopteri; Cypriniformes; Xenocyprididae
Exons: 5
Source: RefSeq, a predicted model, not a curated record
CAUUCUGAAUGCAUUUACUUUGAUAUUAUUGAUAGUGGGAGGAGAUGUUAUUCCUUAAGACUUAACAUUUCAGUCUCUGUUGAAGGUAAUUCAGUUAGCUUUCACGGGUUUGAAGAGGUGCUUGAGGACUGGACAAAGACUGCUUACAGACCCCUCUGCUUACAGAGGUCUCUGGAACACAAAGUCAGUUUGUUUUCAGUUUAGAAGAGGAGCAUUGCAAGGAAAAUGGGAUCAUCUCACUCAAAGAGCAAGUCUAAAUCACAUCAUAGAUCGCAUGAAUCAUCCACGUCAAUUUCCAGGCAUGAGCUUGACCCUGUGGAACAUGCUGGCAUUCCUGCUUAUUCGGUGAGCAAUGCAUUGGUUCUGUCACAUAGUAACAACAGCAUCCAGAGGUCUAUGAAUGUACCAAGAAAUGGGGCAAUGACUCGACAUUACAACAACUUUGAUCAAGGUCUUGAAACAUAUCAACGUAUAGUCCUGAAGAACGGCCGGCCUGUUGAAACUGAAGAAUUCAGGAUUUAUUCAACUGAUUAAAGCCUACUUGAUACUAUGUCAUGUCAUCACAUCUAUUUAGAUAUGUAAUUGCUUAUGUAAUGAAAAUAUGUGUACUAGUUAUGGCAUCCAGCCAGCAUCCAGAGGUCUAUGGAUAUACAAAGAAAUGAGACUGAAGAAUUAAAGUUUAAAUAGACUGAUUAAAGGCUGCUUAAAAAUAGAGAAAAUAUUUUUAAUAUAUAUAUAUAGUUUUUUUCACAGCCCUAAAUGAGGGUCGAUAAGAUAUCUGCUGUGUACUCUUACUUCUCAGUUAUUUCUUUUGUCAGUAAACUGAUUUGGAAGUUCAUAAUGUGUACUUUUAGAAAAAAAAUGCAAUUUAGCAUAUUAUUAUUAUUAAUUACUAGCCAAAAUAGAAUGAAAUAUAUAGCCUACUAGCCUGUUAAAUUCCCAUAAAAUUCCUGUAAAUUGCAUUAGUUACUUUUAAUGAAAAGUAAUGUGUUACAUUACUUUUGUGUUACUUUUUCUCCCCUGGGCUGGGCCUGCUUGUUUGUUUUUAAUAACAACAAAAACUUUAUGUUUUUGGCAAAUGUACAGGCACUUUCACACAAAAAGUGAAAUGAAUAAGCUUCAGGCUGAUCAGAAAUGUGAUGUUUAUCUAUAGUCAUUUUUGCUUAGUAUGUUUGAAUUGGAUCAUCAAAGAUCAGCAGCAAGACCUUGGUUAAUAA